RNAcentral lists this ribosomal RNA (487 nucleotides) under uncultured bacterium. RNAcentral's name for it is "bacterial SSU rRNA". It matches the Rfam family "Bacterial small subunit ribosomal RNA", at positions 33 to 507 of the family's 1533-position model. The record is from RNAcentral.
GACGACGCUGGCGGCGUGGAUUAGGCAUGCAAGUCGAACGGUAGGAUACCUUCGGGUAUCUGAGGGUGGCGAACGGGUGAGUAACACGUAGGUGAUCUACCCUCAAGAUUGGGACAACCCAGGGAAACUUGGGCUAAUACCGGAUGAAAGCAGCAGUGAUGUUGUUUGAAAGGUGGCGUAAGCUGCCGUUUGGGGAUGAGCCUGCGCUCUAUUAGUUAGUUGGCGGGGUAAAGGCCCACCAAGGCGAUGAUAGAUAGGCGGCCUUAACGGGUGGUCGCCCACACUGGGAUUGAGAUACGGCCCAGACUCCUACGGGAGGCAGCAGUCGAGAAUAGUCUACAAUGGCCGAAAGGCUGAUAGUGCGACGCCGCGUGAACGAAGAAGCCCUUCGGGGUGUAAAGUUCUUUUAUAUGUGAGCAGUGCUUUCUAUGUGAACAGCAUGGGGAGAGAGAUAUUAGCAUAUGAAUAAGCAACGGCUAACUCCGUG